Molecule: ribosomal RNA, 753 nt
Filed under: uncultured organism
Description: bacterial SSU rRNA
Rfam family: Bacterial small subunit ribosomal RNA
Source: RNAcentral
GGUAAGUUAGUUGCUUGCAACCAACACGAGUGGCGCACGGGUGAGUAACGCGUACGCGACCUGCCCUCAAGAGGGAAUAGCCCUGGGAACACGGGAUUAAUGUCCCAUGUGAUUGUAUUUCUAAGGGAUAUAAUUAAAGGAGCGAUCCGCUUGAGGAUGGGCGUGCGUGCUAUUAGCUAGUUGGUGAGGUAAUGGCUCACCAAGGCGACGAUAGCUAGGGGGCGUGAGAGCGUGACCCCCCACACGGGUACUGAGACACGGACCCGACUCCUACGGGAGGCAGCAGUAAGGAAUAUUGGACAAUGGGGGCAACCCUGAUCCAGCCAUCCCGCGUGCAGGAAGACGGCCCUAUGGGUUGUAAACUGCUUUUAUUAGGGAAGAAUAGCAUCAAUGGAUUGGUGUAUGACGGUACCCAAAGAAUAAGCACCGGGUAACUCCGUGCCAGCAGUCGCGGUAAUACGGAGGGUGCAAGCGUUAUCCGGAAUCACUGGGUUUAAAGGGUGCGUAGGUGGAAUAAUAAGUCAGGCGUGAAAGGUUACAGUUUAACUGUAGACUUGCGUUUGAUACUGUUAUUCUUGAAUUAAGAUGAGGUUGGCAGAAUGCGACAUGUAGCGGUGAAAUGCAUAGAUAUGUCGUAGAAUACCGAUUGCGAAGGCAGCCAACCGGACUUAAAUUGACACUGAGGCACGAAAGCGUGUGGAGCGAACAGGAUUAGAUACCCUGGUAGUCCACGCCCUAGACGAUGUUCACUCG